CAAGAAGUUACAUGUCUAUUUUAUAAAUCGCCUAAAGAACAAGAUGAACUUUCUGAACAUAAGGACAAUUUUUAGGACGUUGGGGUUUUUUUUGUAUGACGGAGAAGGUGGCUCAUCUGCUUAGCAUCCAGGAGCAUGAGGACUUCAUCAGGAUGCACAUGAAAAUAUCUGGGAUAGAGGAUGCUAGAUGAAUACAGUGGCACCAGAGGAGGAAGGAGAACUGGCUGCUGGCCACCUCAGGUGAUAGACAGUGCUUCACCACCCAACCCAGUUCCUCCUUCCAUUGUGGUCAAGAACCAAUAUGCUGUAUUGGCAACAGUAGGUAAGGAGCAGACCCCAAAGGCUGAGGAGAAGGAGUUACCUGCCCCCAAGGUUAGGAAACUUAUGGCCACUGCACCCAAGAGGAAGAGGCAUGGGGUGCUGGUGAGAAGGGUCUCCAUUCUGAGAAGGAUAGAAGCAUUCAUCGGCUGACCUGACAUGAUGUCCUGAGAGACAUACUGCCUACGGAAAGAUGGCGAAGGCUCAUCUGUCCCUCUGACCACUAUCCCAGGCUGCUCAUUCAUGUGAGCAUUAAUGAUACUGCCAGUAUGACAUGAGAACAUCAGCAGUAUCUAUGGGGUUCUGGGAGAGACUGUAAGGGAGUCAGCAGCACAGAUUGUGUUCUUACCCUCAGCUAGGUGGAUGGACAAGGGCCAGGCAGGGACACGUGCAUCUUGGAGAUGAAUGUAUGGCUGUGCACGUGGUGUUGACCAGAGGUCUUCAGCUUCCUCAACUCUGGAAUUCUGCUCGAGGAAGGAGGUCUGCUGGAAAGAGAUGGGGUCCAUCCAACCAGGAAAGGAAAGAGCAUCUUUGCACACCAACUAACCAGCCUAGUGAGGAGAGCUAGGUUCAAAGGGGGCAGGUGACAAAUGGCCCCAGUUUAUUUUCUAUAGGUUAAUCUUAAAUUACGGAUUGAAUGGUGACUCUAGGAAGCAUAUGAAGCAAUGCCAGAAAGCACUGAAUGGGAUCAGUGGCU
Molecule: long non-coding RNA, 1015 nt
Organism: Mauremys mutica (yellowpond turtle)
Lineage: Eukaryota; Metazoa; Chordata; Testudines; Geoemydidae
Exons: 3
Source: RefSeq, a predicted model, not a curated record